This is a non-coding RNA of Xyrichtys novacula (pearly razorfish), 5476 nucleotides long. The record is from the annotation of a GenBank genome assembly. NCBI's taxonomy places the organism in Eukaryota, Metazoa, Chordata, Actinopteri, Labriformes, Labridae.
GGGUAGGGGAGACCGGGGCUUGUUGUCACAUGGGUAAGUUGUCACAUUGCAAUUAUCUUUGCCACCGGAGGGCGCAACUAAAAAGUGGAAUACUAGUUUUAUUCCUUUACAUGGUCAGGGGUCGUGUCCUGUCUGAGAAGAGAGGAGCUCAUUAACCAUUUUGCACAACCCAAAGUGAAAAAAAAUUAACUUUAUAUAUUUUAAAAUAAGCCUCUUCCAGAUAAAAGUCCUAACAGUGUUACAUGUGGACUUGUUAGGGGAAAGAUUAAGGCAUUCUGUCAUACCUCAGUCAUUGUUCUGUUUUAAGCUAACUUUAGGCUAGAGCUAGAAUUAGCAAACAUGGUAGUUUGGGGGAACAUGUCUCAGUCAUUUUGGGGUUAGUUGUCACAUGUUUAAAAGGAAUUAAGAUUAACAUAGAGAGUCUGUUUAUCAGCAGUUGUCAUAUUGAAAUCUUGAGUGGAAGACAUGGUCACGAGUUACAAAAGAAAAACUGAACAUGACAGUGCAGUGUCUGACGUGAUGCUGAGGACAGUCAGGCAGGUGACCCUCGCUAAUAAAUCAAUCUGGAGGAAAAUUAAGGACUUAAAUAUCAACUACUAUACCUUGACUCCGAAAUUCAGAGUCAGACAGCUCUCCAAACUCCAGAGCAUGUUUCAUAAUAUCUUAUGUUAAUGUUUGUUUAAUGGUGUGAAAAGUGUGACAACAAGCCCCGGUCUCCCCUACUCUGAACUAAAGCAGUUACAGCACACUCACCUGUUUGUCAACCUAUCUGUGCCCUGAUUAUGCAAAUCUGAGUUAAUUUUAUCUUUAAAGGAUAGUGUCUUGCAUAGUGUGCGUAAAUGAACACAUGAGUUUCAUCCAACCAGACAGAACUUGCUGUAAAAUGAGCACAUCUACAGUGAUUCACAGCCCACCUAAAUAUCAAACUCUUGAGCAGCUCCAUGUCCUACUUUGUCCACAAGCUGGUAGCUAAUUGUGUCCGUCUCUUGCUGGGUAGAGUGGAAAAUAAAAUAGACAGUUGGUUUGAGAGCUUUUACCCUGAAAAAAAGAAAAAGCUGUUGCCUAUUGUUGUAAAAAAAAAUAGAGAGAAAGAGAUGAAACUUGAAAAGGAAAAUGUUGAAUUGGACUUUUUCACAAUGACCUGAAACUCUGUAAAGUCCUGUUAGGCUCAGGUAAGCUGCAUUCAGGUUAUUAUUUUCAACCAUUAGCAUCAGCUCUCACAUCUCUUCUUGCUUCAUAUCAUACAUUUGCACUGUCUGCACACAUUUUCCUACAAUAGCUCUCUCCACAUUGAAGUAAAGGGUUGUGAGGCUCCUCUGCCAACAGUAUCAUUACAGUCUUUACAUGUAUCGCCUCACUUUUUUUGGACCUCCGCAGCACCUGUUCAUUUUUUCUGUUUCUAACAUCAAUCAUCAACCCCCUCCACCCUCUCUUCCUUUUAUUUCUUUUAUGUCUCCAUGCUGUCCAAAUCCCACCUACCCAGGCUGCCUGUCGGCCUGUCAGAACCCACCAUAUGUGUAUUUAUACCAGUGCCACUAUGCUUUUCCCCCACAGCACAUUUGCAUGAGUUUUUAAUUGUUUAUUGUAGGAUGUAGGCGUCACGUGCUGGCGGGACUCGGCCGGUGAUACGUGUGAAUAGAGUGUUUAGCGAGCCACUGUCCCGCCCCUAGACUCUCGUCUGCCAACAACCAUCUUUAUUGAUUCCAAACAGUCUGACCGGGAGGCGCAGAUGCACUGGGAGGAGGGAGUGGGACAAAGGAAGGAGAGGGGCACUCAGGAAAAAAUAAACUACAAAGAACAGCACGAGGAAAUUAGGGAAAUGCUCCCUUUUUUGUCAUAAAGCUUCAUCUGUCACAUAAGGGAUUGUCUUUUCCUCCUCUGAGCCCUUUGAUUCCCUCCCUGUCUGGGCCUUCGAUUCGUCUUCUCCGCCCUCCUCCUCCUCCGCUUAAAUUUCUCGCUGUUUUACUCCACAGGAUGGUGGAAAAAAUAAACAGAUGGAGGAGGGUGGGAUAAAGAGACAGCAGAGGAAGGAUGUAGGAGUUCAAACUGAGAGAGGGGGAGGAGAAUAGGUGGGGAUGAGAGGAUGCAGAGCCGGCGGGAGGAUGGAGGGAUGGUGGUAAAAGAGAGAUGAAGAGCCUGAUGAACUCAUCUAAAGGCGCUCUGGGUUUUUUUUAAUAAGCAGCAGACUGUGAAGCUACUCGGACCAGUCACUCUGAGUAAUGAGAGAGAGGGAGGGAGAGAGACACACAAGAUGAGAGCAUGAAAAGACAACGAGACUCAUUAUCCUCCAACCAAUUUUCAUCACUGUCCCGUCAGUAAUCUCUCUCUCUUUUUCUUACUCAAACAGUCCACAGCUCUGUUUGAGUUGACAGAUGAAGACCAAUUACGCUAACUGUUUCGUUAACUUGAAGGGUGAACCCCCACCAUCUUCCAGAGCGUACACUGAUAAUCCUGUUGGCCCUGGAAAUUACUCGCCCAACACACCUGAGGAUGAGUGUGUGUGUGUGUGUGUGUGUGUGUGUGUGUGUGUGUGUGCAGCCAUAAUUCCUCAAGUAACUCAACUUUUUGUAUGGGAAGAGGCAGUAAAAGAGAGAGAGAGAGAGAGAGUGUGUGUGUGCUGUGAAAAAUGUGCGCUGCUAGUUAGGUUGACAGUAUUUGCUGGCCGUGAACUCUCCGGUGUUUGAUGAAGAAUUAUUUCAGGCUGAUGACUGCUGUUGCUGACUUGGUUCCUUACAGUCUAAUAGCUUUUUGCCUUGUCAACAUUUUCUCAGCACUUAAACAUAUUUGUUUCUGUUCUGCUUGAGUUUUUCCAGCAUAUAGACACAGGGUACACUCUAAAUUGCUAGUUUUUCUUAGCUUUUGUUCUAACCCGAGUGGCUUUUAUUUGCUGUGGACUUCUCUACAGACGCUCUCUUCCUGCUGUGGCUGAAUAGUUUUGUAUAUAGAACGAGUAAAGGCGUCACUUUUGUAAUUUUACUUGAAAUCAUUUUCCUUGAAGCAUCAGCAGCUCACAAUGAUGCUUUUAUCCUGCUGCGCCUCAGCUGUGUGUUGGGUUGUUGCAAACCUUGGUAGUUCAGUCAACAGCUGUGUGAAAGGCUCACUCAGCUAUGCAUGCUUUUUUCUAAGGCACUGCUCAAGUUGCCAGAAAGCCUUAUUCCAUUCACCCUGAUCUGAGGCUGAGGCCGAGCCUUUGGAAUUUGUAAAAACUCAUUUAUUAUUCUCUCUCCAAACUCACUGAUUCGCUUCAUAAUGACAGAAUUUACUGAUUAUUAGAAAAGAAAGAAAACCAGCAUGUGCAACAUGAAGAUGGAAAAUCCCUCCUAUCAGCAGACAUCCCCUUGUUCUCCAGCGCUUUCUUUAUCUAUCUUCACAAACAUUUCUUUGGUCUGAAACCUCUGAAUGUGCUCUUGUGGGAUUUUAUCUCCUUAGAGGAGCCUCCAAAACCUGCGGGUCACCGGCGGUCUGAUGUUUAGAUUCAGGUUAUCACAACUUGGAGCUAAGCUCUGCCUAACACAAAUGACAGAACAAAGACUGAUACCAGCUGGAUCCAGAGAGGCAGACGUGCUCUAAGACAGGAAUAAAUGGUGGUUUAGGGCACAAUUAUCCAGGAUUACUUAAUCACGUCUAAUCACAAUCAUAAACACACUGCUAUAAAGGGGGCCCAUAUUAGACAAAAGGCCAGUUAGCAGUGACAAUCACCCUGUGGGAUGCUAGUUUCCACAUCAACAAGAGAAACCUGAGAGUUUCCUGAAUUAGUCUUAAUUUCAACAGAAAGAAUAAAAGAACAGAUGCUGUUAGGACAGAAACAUCAUUUAAAACUAAUGACAAACACAAAGAUAUCAACUCCAAACUGGCAAAUCAUCUGGACUCGCAACCAAAAGCUCCAUCCAAUAACUGUUUCUUCUUUUAUAACCAUCAGCCGCGGAUAGUUUGCCCAAAUGUCACUGAAUUAAAGUUUUUAAAAUGAUUCAAAUAUAAGGCUGUGUUCUUGGUAAUAACUAAAAAAAAAAAAACAGUACGUUUUGUAAACUUGUAUUUCUUCAGUAAAACACUGACCUGUUACAUGCCAACCUUAAUCUCUUUUCUUCACAACUGUAUCCCUCUGCAGUUGUCUUAUCCAAAAAGGCCAAAAGAUAACGUUAUAAAAGUAACCCACUGGUGAAACAACAGCAGUGCAUAUUGUUGCUCGGGAUUCCUGUUGUGUUGUACUGAUACUUUCUUUUCAGUAGGUGAUGAAAAAUUCUUGUUACAACGUUCUGAGAACUACGAAUGCUCUUACUCCCUGCAGUGCAAACAAAAUAAAAAGCAGUGGAGUCCUUGAAGAGUUCAUAGACCAAUAAAAAAGUUCCUGGGAUCUGAUCCUAUCUUUAAGUUUAAGAGAGUUAGACAUCCAUACUGAGACACAGAGAGGGAGCAGGAACAGGUAAACUUGGCUGCUGCACUGUCGUUACUGGAGAGGCUUUUAGAUACAAUUGGACCUUUAAAGGGAUAUUCCGGCAUAAAAUUAAGUUAGGGUCAAACACACCAUAACACCAAGUUAAGACACCCCCUCAAGAGGUGAAUGUUGUCUACCGCUUGCUUCUCUAGUUAAACCAAAUGUAGUAAAGACCGCACGAUAGCAAAACACAGCGGUCUGAGGAGCCGUAAACAAACCUCAACCAAAACGCCACUCUAUAGCCACAAAUAAUUCUCAGAACAGCACCUAACUUCAUCAACAGUACAUAUAGGGUCCCAGCCAAAGUACUAGUCACCAAACAUCUUUUUAACUUUGCUUGAUUUCUUUAGCAAUGAGACUAAACACAACUCACCUACUCUCUUCCAGCAGCCGUUUGUUUGUGGCGAGACCUCAGGCCAGUCCAUUACAGACUGCUGCGGGGUGACGCAGACCGAGACGCUAAGGCAGAAGAACUACAGCGUCUGCAGUGUGAAAUGAUUAAUAUGGUGAUUAUUACUUCGAGGAAAUGAUAAAGUAAUGAUCAUAAAUGUUCUUCCUUGAGCUGCGUCACCCCGCUGGUUGAGGUUUGUUUAUGGCUCCUCAGACCGCUGUGUAUUGCUAUCCUGCAGUCGUUACUCAAGUUGGUUUAACUAGAAAAGCAAGCGGUCAGCAACAUUCAUCUCUCGAGGGGGAGUCUAACUCGGUGUUACGGUGUGUUUGACCCUAAACUAAUUUUACGCUGGAAUAUCCCUUUAAGCUGUAAACUUAUGUUUCAAGUUUGUCUGAACUUUUGUAUCUGAAAUAUCUUUGUGUCAGUUUUGGUGAGCAAAAAUCUCAGAUUCAAACACAGAAACCCUUUGGCUGACACAUUCUUUCACAAGGACAAGCUUCCGAAAAUAUGCUGCAAAUGUUUUUGCAGAUUGCACUUUAAAUCAUCACAGAUGCUUGAAAUAACAUAGGAAGUAGUUACGAAAACUUUCCACCAAUGACUGUUUCCGUUAAAACACAAACAUAGUGUACGUCUCUUCCUCCUGAGUGAAG